This 465-nucleotide ribosomal RNA is filed under the name Vreelandella stevensii. RNAcentral describes it as "partial 16S ribosomal RNA". It matches the Rfam family "Bacterial small subunit ribosomal RNA", at positions 338 to 795 of the family's 1533-position model. Lineage: Bacteria; Pseudomonadati; Pseudomonadota; Gammaproteobacteria; Oceanospirillales; Halomonadaceae. The record is from RNAcentral.
CCUACGGGGGGCUGCAGUGGGGAAUAUUGGACAAUGGGGGCAACCCUGAUCCAGCCAUGCCGCGUGUGUGAAGAAGGCCCUCGGGUUGUAAAGCACUUUCAGUGAGGAAGAACGCCUGGUGGUUAAUACCCAUCAGGAAAGACAUCACUCACAGAAGAAGCACCGGCUAACUCCGUGCCAGCAGCCGCGGUAAUACGGAGGGUGCGAGCGUUAAUCGGAAUUACUGGGCGUAAAGCGCGCGUAGGUGGCUUGAUAAGCCGGUUGUGAAAGCCCCGGGCUCAACCUGGGAACGGCAUCCGGAACUGUCAAGCUAGAGUGCAGGAGAGGAAGGUAGAAUUCCCGGUGUAGCGGUGAAAUGCGUAGAGAGCGGGAGGAAUACCAGUGGCGAAGGCGGCCUUCUGGACUGACACUGACACUGAGGUGCGAAAGCGUGGGUAGCAAACAGGAUUAGAUACCCGAGUAGUC